This 1770-nucleotide non-coding RNA is filed under the name Pongo abelii (Sumatran orangutan). Lineage: Eukaryota; Metazoa; Chordata; Mammalia; Primates; Hominidae. The record is from RNAcentral.
GGCUGUACCUGGGUGCUGUGUCCGCGGGGCGUCCGGAGAUGUCGACGUGGUCACAGCAGGGCCUGGAACAGGGAGGUCUGGCCUGGACUAGAGAAACGAGGGGUGCAUCCGCUUCUCCACCCUGGCCUCAGAUGAAGAGGCUCUGGGGGCAGGAGGGAGUCAGACACGGGCAGGGCAGGCGGCCUGUGCAGGGCCCAACCCUCCGGCACUGGAACCUGACCCCCUCAGAGGCCCCCACCGUGGAGGGAUGUCUAGGGGAUGCUGUGCGCUGCCGCUACGAUGUUUGGUUAGAGAUUAAAGCCAUUUCAGAAGUGGACACCUGCCCGCAAAGGGCUGGGAACCCGGUCUUGACUUUGCCUGGAAUGCCCUUUGGAAAGACCUCUGUCCCUGAGGCUGAGGGACAGUGCCUGCUCCUGCCAGGUGCCCAGCUCUUAAGCGGUUCCCAGUCUCAUGCCGCCUGCCCCGGGGCCUCCCCCAACUCAUUUGUUUAUUUCCCUGUUGGGAAUGUAUUGAUACCUCCAGGGUGCAAGGACGGAACCACACCUGAGGGGUGGACACUCAGCUGGUGCCCAGCAAAUAUCUGUGGAAUUUCCUCCACACAACAGGGAAAGUGAUGGAGACAGAAACCUCUGCAGGCCCCCGAGGGCACCCACCUCUCUGACCCCCAUCCCGCAAGCUGGGCCUAGGGCAUCGGUGGCCUGUGGUCAUGCCCUGGGUGCCAGCGCCUGUGGAGAGUUCAGGAGGCGAAGGGUUUAUCUCAGCUCGGCCCAUGACUGUGUUGAAGGACGGGAGGGAGUGGCCGUGGCUGUGGCUGGAAUCUGAAGCUGGUGUGGGCGGCCAGGGCCCUUCCCUGGGUGGUGACGAGCGAGGACCAGAGCCCUGUCCGCCCGAGGGAAGGGCGAGGGGACACUUCCCGUGGCGGGGGUGGGAUCCUGGUAGCCGGGGCUCAGUGACCGCUGCCUGGGCCACCGCCUAUGGGGACCUGACCUUCCUGGGGAAACCCAUGGGUCAAAGGAGCUGAGAAAUCCAAGCACCAAGUGGCCGCUAGGGCAGGACGGGCGCGUUCGCAGUGGAGAAGCUGGAUGUGUCCGUGGGAAAGGAAAGAAAUGGAAGCAGAGGCUCAUCAGGGGCACCUGGAAACGCAGCCUACACUCUUCCCAGGCCUCCUCCCUCCGUCCACUGUGCCGCCUGGGUCCUGGGACAGCCCGAGGGCCACAGGCUCCCAUGCAAGACCCGCUGGGGGCCUGCUUGUCUGGGGCUGAAUUUGGACUUCAUGGGGCUAUGGCUUUAAUGUCACAAUAACCGAUAACCAGUGAACUGAAGCCAGGACAGCACCGCGAGCACCAAGUCAGAGCAUUUUCACGAGGGAACAGGAACAGAGUGCGAGGCUGCCCCCGCCGCGUCCUCCGGGAGGCGCCUUCCCAGGGGAGUGCAAGGCUGCCUGCUGUGACCAGGCCACCAAAGCACCUUCUUCACCGCCAGGCAUCUUUUGAGGCACACGAACAUCAGAGGCCCCAGCUACAUGCUCUGGAGGAGAAGCUGAGAGCCCCAGGCCACAGGCAGGGCAGCCUCCAAGGGCCGGCUCAGGGAGAGUGGCCAGAGCUUCUGGCCUGGGGCAGGUGGACCCGUUAGAAACUGCAUGUGUUGCCUCUGGCACCAGCCACAGCAAGAGAUUCUCUUCCUAUCACACAGGGAACAAACUCAAGUAUCUUGACCCUGCCCUCCUCUCCCCAGCUGGCCGCACUUGGGGACGCUGAUGCCACAAAGGAA